AAACUUAAAGGAAUUGACGGGGGCCCGCACAAGCGGUGGAGCAUGUGGUUUAAUUCGACGCAACGCGAAGAACCUUACCGGGGCUUGACAUCCUACGACAUCUUAGGAGACUAGGUUUUCUAGCAAUAGAACGUAGAGACAGGUGCUGCAUGGCUGUCGUCAGCUCGUGCCGUGAGGUGUUGGGUUAAGUCCCGCAACGAGCGCAACCCUUGUCGUGUGUUGGUCUGCAAUGAUCUCUCACGCGAGACCGCCGGUGACAAGCCGGAGGAAGGUGGGGAUGACGUCAAGUCAGCAUGGCCCUUACGUCCCGGGCUACACACGUGCUACAAUGGGAAGGACAACGAGUCGCGAACCCGCGAGGGCAAGCUAAUCUCCUAAACCUUUCCUCAGUUCGGAUUGGAGGCUGCAACUCGCCUCCAUGAAGUCGGAAUCGCUAGUAACCGCAGAUCAGCUACGCUGCGGUGAAUACGUUCCCGGGCCUUGUACACACCGCCCGUCACGUCACCUGAGUUUAGUGUACCCGAAGCCGCCCGUGUAACCGCAAGGAGCAAGGCGUCUAAGGUAUGCUAGGUAAGGGGGACGAAGUCGUAACAA
This 594-nucleotide ribosomal RNA is filed under the name uncultured bacterium. RNAcentral describes it as "bacterial SSU rRNA". It matches the Rfam family "Bacterial small subunit ribosomal RNA", at positions 897 to 1494 of the family's 1533-position model. The record is from RNAcentral.